RNAcentral lists this ribosomal RNA (468 nucleotides) under uncultured bacterium. RNAcentral's name for it is "partial 16S ribosomal RNA". It matches the Rfam family "Bacterial small subunit ribosomal RNA", at positions 28 to 507 of the family's 1533-position model. The record is from RNAcentral.
GACGAACGCUGGCGGCGUGCUUAACACAUGCAAGUCGAACGGAAAGGCCCUGCUUUUGUGGGGUGCUCGAGUGGCGAACGGGUGAGUAACACGUGAGUAACCUGCCCUUGACUUUGGGAUAACUUCAGGAAACUGGGGCUAAUACCGGAUAGGAGCUCCUGCUGCAUGGUGGGGGUUGGAAAGUUUCGGCGGUUGGGGAUGGACUCGCGGCUUAUCAGCUUGUUGGUGGGGUAGUGGCUUACCAAGGCUUUGACGGGUAGCCGGCCUGAGAGGGUGACCGGCCACAUUGGGACUGAGAUACGGCCCAGACUCCUACGGGAGGCUGCAGUGGGGAAUAUUGCACAAUGGGCGGAAGCCUGAUGCAGCAACGCCGCGUGCGGGAUGACGGCCUUCGGGUUGUAAACCGCUUUCGCCUGUGACGAAGCGUGAGUGACGGUAAUGGGUAAAGAAGCGCCGGCUAACUACGUG